AAAACAUACAAGCUCUAUGACUCUGACCUGAGAAAUGAAUGAUUUCAUUUUUCUUUUUUCGAAAGGUAGUUCAUUGAUCAGAAACAGAUUACAGGCCCAGGCUUGCUAAAAGACAAUUUGGGCCAUAGGCCUCCUAUGUCAGUCAAGGAACUUAAGGCAAGCCCAUCCGAUCCUGCAACGACCUCGUUGCAGUCCGGCCACCCUGCCUACACCUCUGUGCACUUGGCGUGAGUCGAUCAAGAUGGGUCGGCUCUGAUACCAAAUGUCACGGGUGUCUCACAUGGGUAGAUAUUGUCCGCUUUAGACCUCGGCCCGCACGGUUUUGUUCCUGGGCCAAGCCUCUGUCCAACCCAAAAUGCGUCUACUCAAACAAGGCCACCCCCUUCAUAUUAGCCCAGAAACUCUCCCAUACUUGGCCGAUGUGGGAUUGAGGUUGGCCACUGUAGGAGAGGUUGGCUCAAAGACCCCAUAGUCAUCCACCAAACACAGAUGAAGGACCCGUCAACAGAGCCUAGCGGGACUGCGGCCAUCACACCAUAGCAUAAAUCUCAACAAGCUCUCCUCUGGAAGCAAAAGCAAGGCACAUCGAGGAGAAACUCUCACCGAGAAGCAUUGGAUUUCGCAACAAAAACACUCAAAAACUUUAUUCACAAUCCUACCUGGAGUGAGGUGGAAGAAACCCACUUCCCAGGCGAGGAAAGAAGACCUCCUGCCCGGAUGGGACAGGGAAUGGCAAGAUGAGGCUGAACCUCAGAAGAAGACGGACUAAAUUUGAUAGAAAACUCUCUCUCUAAAGCUAGAGAGAGAGGUCGAGCCUCAGAAGUUAAUGAGUUGUCAGUUUGAUUUCAAAUUUUCAAUCAACAUAAUGACACUGUAGGAAAGAAAGCACAAGCAGCUUCUGAAAACAACUGUACAACAAACAGAGGCGUGAGAACAUUGCCAGGGUUGAUGCUGAAAGUGCUACUUUCAUUUGCGCCAUUGCUGUUUUACAAAUAUAUUUAAAAGUUCCAUAGAAACCAAUGCAAGAAGGUAAGUAGGGAAGCCUAAAGGUCCAAAGGUUUUGUACAUUCCAAACAAAGAUAACAAGAAUGUUCAUUGUAACAAAAAUAAGGUAAGGUGUGGAUAUAUUAGUGUCUAGCGAUACCGUAAACUUCAUGCUCCCAAAAAGCUACAGGAGGUGAAGAUAGCACCUUUUUCAAUGCAUAAAACUUCAUUAUCAUUUCAGCCAAAAGCACCAGUUCUGCUAUCAAGCUAAAACAGAACAGGGGUGGUAACAACACUAGUAGCCAACAUAUACUGCAGCAUUCGCUAUGUAACAAUCUUCAUUCUUGUCUCCCAUUUCCUCAACACACACACACCGCUUGAGCAUAUUAGUCCACGAUCCACAACUUCAACAUUUAGAAUAUUUCCACUGCAUGUUAAAGGAGCGAAAAGCCAUAUUUGUAAAGUUUACGCAGGUUGAGCCCCAAAAUAAGAAGAAUGAUAACAAUGAACAUCACAAAAUAGUGAGGAAUUGUGUUUCAAACAUUGUAGAUACUCCUCACUGCAUAUUGACUCUUCCUUUAAACAGCUAAAAUGGUUAACUUAAUUUCUUAUCACAAUGUCUACAAGGCUACAAGCUAGAACAUUUUUUAUCCUGAAAAAUAAAUGAAUGCCAUUCCAGAGAGAGGAAAACAGGAACAAAGCUAAAAACCAUGAGACAACAACAUAAAUUUAUCCAUCCAAUUAGGUUUGAUACUUGCUAAGGAAAGACGGACUUCACCCUUUCAAUAUCCAAUGAUUGCUGGAGAGAAUGUGGAACUCCCAGUUUGAUUUGUAGUUUCAUUUGGUCAAAUGUGACACCAGGUAUGGAACCUCUGCGAAAUGCAGGAAUCGAAUUGGAAGAGAUGGCAUCCCUGCAUGCUCGCAUUGCUGCAGCUGUAAUAUCUUGGCUGAAGCAUACAAUACCACCACAUUAAAGAAUGAACUCAACUACUCAUAAUUGAAGCAAUUCGAGGAACCAGCAAAAAGAAAUCAUUGAUGGGUAUCUAUCCGAGAUGGAAAAAAAAAUGGAGUUUAAAAGAAAGGAGCAGAUAACAACACACCCAUGUUGAUCAUAGCCAACACCCAUCUCCACAAACAAGAGCUUCAUUGGUGCGUUUGAGCUGCCAGCUUUAAAGACUGCAGUUCCACUUUGCUGGACCUCCAUGGCCCUUGUUGUGUUUUUCCACAGGCGUGAAAAUCGAGGAACUUGCAGAGAGGAUUUGUUUGCUAGAGAAAGAAAUGGUGUUGGUGAAUUUGAUGGGUAAAUCUUAGAAACCUGCAGACUCUCAGAUUGAUACUCUGUGAAGCGAGAGGAAAGUGGCAAUUUUAGGAUUGGGCAGCAAACAGUCAUCUCCUCCGUCAAGACAACUCGAUAAGUUAGAACUUAGCACAGCACCGCCAGAUUAUACAUUGCAUUCAGCACCUCCA
Molecule: unclassified non-coding RNA, 2451 nt
Filed under: Hevea brasiliensis (rubber tree)
Lineage: Eukaryota; Viridiplantae; Streptophyta; Magnoliopsida; Malpighiales; Euphorbiaceae
Source: RNAcentral